UGAUAAUUCCCACAUCUGAAUCAUCUCAAGUUAUUUUUGGUAGAUUUUGAUGGAUGUACAUUGAUGGAUAGCCACAUGGAUCCAGAAAAUAAAGACUUCUACUGUGCAUAUUGACUAAAGCAAAAGAUAUGCAAGGAAGCUCAGUCUCUCAGUUGAGUGGAUUCUGAAAUUUAUCCUGUUGUCUUCAGCUACUAAGGCUAAUUUGCAAAUCACACUGUGCACGGGGUGAAAUAGGAGCACUUGGGAAGCACUGCAAUGAAUUUACUGCUUAUUCAGCAUAUUGAUAGAGUCUUCUCUAAAACAACAAAAAGUGUUGACAGCAAAUUGAAGAUCUUAAAGAAUGUGUGUGUCCCACCCCUGCAGUACUUCAGCAUUCUGAGGUAAAAAGACAAUUGGCUUACUGCAUCUUAGAAAGGUUUAUUGAUUUUGUUAUUGCUACAACUAUCAUGGGAGCAGAGGCAGCAAUUUCUCAAGCCUAGUUCCAAAAGGAUUAAACCUGACCAAGAUUUAU
RNAcentral lists this long non-coding RNA (511 nucleotides) under Pongo abelii (Sumatran orangutan). RNAcentral's name for it is "lincRNA". The record is from RNAcentral. Lineage: Eukaryota; Metazoa; Chordata; Mammalia; Primates; Hominidae.